UUUAAAAUGGCUUUUAUUGAGACACUUUUAGGGCUUCUGCUACAUCGCUAGUUGGGGAUCUUCUUUAUUUCCAAUUCUUAGGUGGCUAAAUUCUUCUCUGAAUGCCUACAACGCCCAUUCCCACCACCUUAGCGAGGAAGCACACGGUCUCUGCUUAAAUGUUCAAUCAGGAAUGUAUGUCCCCCUCCGCUAUUCUAUACAAGUCUCCUUAGGCCUCCUAAGCCCAGACUCCGUUCUUUCCCACCUAGUAAUUGAUUAGGCAGACUAAUUUCAAACCAAGGGUGAGAGGGCUUCAGUUCAGCUAUUACUAUCCUUAAGAGAAAAGCUUUCUCAAUGCCAGUUCUUCUGAUUUGAUAAUCCGUGGCAUCUUAAUUUAGGGACAUCCUGUCCCAAACAUUAUUAGCUGGUGUCUGUAGAAUUUAUAAUCUCCUUGUAGAACAGACUUAAAAUAACUCCAUGCCAGCCCCGAACGCCCUAAAGGUCCUGCCUGGUCUAUUCUUACACUUUCUCCUGUAGUUUCUGAGAAGCAGGAUGUUAACAUUUUAGGAGGAGAUUGGUCAACUUUCUUUGGUCUUGUUAAUGCUUUUGUCACAGCUAUCUUUGGGAAGGAGUCUUAGAAAUUACGGAUGCCAGCCACUGAAGACCUCUUUAGACCAACGUCCCCGAGAGGUGCUUGCUAGGCUUCUGUCCUCUGCAUGGAUUGGCACUUUCCAUCAUUGCUGUAAUUACUGAAACAGUGGCCUAAUACCGCCUCCUCGUACUCUUCCAUUCUUUAGUCCAAGCUGCUCUUGGGAAUCUAUGUAGUAAAUAUACUAGCUCUUUCCAUCUUAACAGCCCUUCAAGUGUGUGAUCUCCAAAGCCUUUUUAAUAGCAAGAUGGUCAAGAGAAUUACAACAAAAGCAGAGAGUAGUUGCCUGUUUAGUACAAUUGUUCCCAUUAUAAGGUGAAAACUAACAUUUACUUCCUUUUAUAAGAAAGAACGCCAGGGUAUUAAUAUUCUGCUUGCAAAUUAAUGCCAAUUUGUUUACAUCCUUUUAUCAUUGAGACAUUUACAUAUAUAAGCAGGCUCUGCUCCUUAACAAAAGGGGAACUGAAAAACUCAUGAAUGUUUAUUUUUGCAGUUAAAAAGGAAAAAGACAAAACCAAACCAAAAGAAUUUGUUAACAGGUGCCUUGAGAGAAAGCAUUCUUAAUGCCAGUGGCACAUCUUGGUCUUCUGUAAGUUUCCUCAGUGGCUGUGGCUUCCACCUCUGAUGAAAGUGAGCCAUGGCAUCAGCUGGUACAAGACAUAAUGGACACAUAGGACUGUAAUGUGUAAUAAAGCAAGUAUUUACAUUAAGCACAAUACAGCAAUUUAUUUAGAUGCUUAAAAUGAAUACAAAGGGAAAUAAAGAUCACAAAAUUAUACAUACUACAACAGUGUGUCAUAUAUUAGAUGGUAUAAAUGAAUACACCAGGGUGGUGUUUAACUAAAGAUAAAACUAAAUAUCCAAAAUGCAGCACUCAUUGGUUUGCUGCUUCAACACAACACACUUUCAUACAGAUCUAAAAGGUGUCAAAAUUAGUAGCUGCAAAGUCAAUUCUUGCAUGUGAUUUUUUAGCUUAAAAGAUUUCAGAAAACAGAUCUGAAAUACCAGUUUUUGUUUCUGUCAGCUGUAAUGUCAAGGAUAUUCAGAACAAGAAAAAUUCUAUAAUACAAGAGAGUCCAGAUAUAUAUCUUAUGUGGCUGGCCUCUGUUCCAAGAUUGUACAAGGUUAUGUGCAAAAACUAAGUCUGUCCAAAAGUCCAUACUAGCGCAGUUUCAAGCUUUUGCUAGGUAAACUAGAUAGAGCGUUUAUUACACAGCAAGGGCAACACUAAAAAAAGAAAUCUAGGAUGGGUACACAAUAACAAUAUCAUAGGCAUCACUUGAAUAGGUCUAAAAGACUGUACAAAUAUACAUUUCAACUAUUCAGAAUGAAUACAUGAAAAAAAAUUGAUUUUCCCCAAAGUCUACUAUACACAUUGGACUGGUAGCUUGAAUGUUGGCCCUACACUACCGUGUGAAUCAGGGUUAACGCUUCCCAAGAACAUCCAACCAAACAUUUUACAGAGGGAAAGAAAUGUCGAGAAGGCAGAUAAAAUAAACCUCUGCUUUUCCUCAUGUGCGUUCGUGAGCCACCAGCUUAUUGGUUGUUCACAUUUAUUUACUGUGUCUGUCACAGCAAGUUCUGAAGCAAGAUCAGCCAAUCGUGUGUCACAGACUUAGAAAUAACCACUGGGAUUAGCAGUGGCCAUGUAUCCCUACAGCCCGAUGACCCAGCACUCAAAAGGCAGUACCAGUCAGAAUACAGCUUUGCAGUCCUACCGAAAGGACAGCAGAGCUCCAGGCUGCAGCAGGUCACCGAUGCCUGAGAACCUGGUACUUAGGCCUGCUGGCUGCUCAGUUUCACUCCGGUUAGGCUGCCAUGCAUUGGCUCAGCAACCCCAUCAGUCAUGUUGUCAAACUGCUCCCCAUCCUCACUGUCAAUUGUGCUAUUCUGCCACUCAAUCUGUGGGUUAGAUAAGCGCUCAUCAUUUUCAGAUGCGUUCUUCCACUGUGACUGGUCCUUGGACCAAAACCCUUCAACUUUUCCAUAGGAACUAUUCUUCCAUUUCAACUGCUCUCUGUCACCUUGCAUGGUAGCCUUUUUUUUUGGCAGCUGGCUUACUGCUUCUUGCAUCUUCACUCUGGGAAGACUCAUCAGACCAGGUUCCUGCUUUCAUUUCACAUGUGUUGUCCUCAAAGUCUGACACUUGUUGGGAACCAGGGCCACUCUCAGAUGGAGAAGCACCAUCUUUCCACUCAACAACAUCAUCCUGGUCAACCUCACUGUCAGAAGCAUCAUGCAUCAGUUUGGUUGGUUCCUCAGUCAAAUGAAUAGUUUCAUAUUUUGAACCAUCCUCCUCUUUUUGGUCUAGCUUCUCCUCAGAUUCUAAAGCAUCCUCAGAAAUGACCUUCGGUAUGUGUUCCUCUGGGUUAUCGUUAGAGAUUUUAGGCUCAACUUCAAACACAGGGUCAAAAGGGCUACCACUUCCAUUGGAUUCUUCCUCCAAAUUUUCAAAACUGUCUGAGGAGCUGUCCUCCUCCUUCCCAAGGCUGAGCUUUUUGUCAGCAGUUUUACUAGCAUUGACUCUGGAAUCCUUCUCGUCAUGAUUCUCAAACAGCCACUCAGCAUCAAAAUCCAUCUCGUGCUUCACUUUGUUUAGUUCUUUCAUGUUGAAGCCCAGUAACACACCAGGCUUGUACUUUUCACAGUCUCGGACACACUUCUUCCUCUUGUUACUAAAAUGGGAAGCAAUGUCACUCUUCCACAACCACAAACUGGCGGCCAGCUUCUCAAUUUCUCUCCUGGUGGGAUAGGGCUGUUUGUUAAAAUACUUCGUUAGGAAGCUUUUCCUGGCUUCAUAGGAAUCAUCUUCAUGACCCUUGGGGUCUAAAGCUAAAACAACAGGCUCCUCAGGCUUCUCUUCAAAGAAACUGGGUGAAUCGCUAUCAUCGUCUAACUUUCGCUUUUUCAGCAAGGGAAAUUCCACUUGCUCGUAAGUGCGCUUGACAGGUGCCAGGCCCGGUGACUGAUUAAGCCGAGAGGGUGCAUUUGUCUUAUCCUGGCCAUUCUGGGUCUUUCCAACACCCCUGCAGUGAACGAGAUGCAGAGUGAUAGUCGAGGCGGUCAUGUUGCUGGUGUACACACCAAGGCAAUGGAUGCAUUUGUAGGUGAGCUUUUUUUCCACGGGAUGAACCGUCUGAAUAACUUGGUGCCUCUCUCGUAGGUGAUGUGCAAGUGCAUCAGAUAUGGGUCCUUUUAGGAUUGAAAAGCAAAGAGGGCAAAGGGUUUUCCCAACAUCUUUUUUAUAGGGUACUGCAGCUUGAGGUGAACUUUUAACAGGGAUAUCUGCCUUUUCCUGAACUUUUGGCUGUGGCUUUGGAGGGACUGGAGGGUUAUUUUGGGCAUGGUAAGCAACAGAUUCAGCCGGGGCAUCCCUCAGGUUGUAUGUGGUUACCAGGAGAUGGAUAUUAGUGUGACUACCCUGCUGCAAUGUCAAAUCAAAACUCAAAGUGGAAUCUGUUUUAGGUCCCAUCUCUUCAUCAAUGUGAACCAUCCGCAUGUGUGCCGCCAUCUUUUCCACAUCGUUGAAAGUUGAACGGCAAUAUGGACAAGACAGACCAUGAAUUAACAUAUGGUUGAGCAGGGUAUCUGUGGGCAAAUAGCGAUUACAGUAGAGGCAUUUGCUAGUAAAAUUGUGUAUUUUCAUAAUGUAGUUGGCUACUGCUGGGACUUUCUCAGCUUUAUGUUCUUUUUCGAAGUGCACACUAUACACAUUUUCAGGAAAAAGCUCAUUACAGAUUGUACAUAUUUUCCACUUUUGAGUUGAGGAAGUAUUGGCUGGGGGAGGGCCCGUGGCAGCUGCAGUAGGUUUGGAACUGGACUGACCUAAUACUCUGGAUGCCUGUGACUGGGAGAGGGAGGGAGACUUUAGCUGGCCUGCUGAGAGAGAAGAAGCAUUAGCAGCCUGCAGGGAGUAUCUUGCUGGUGCCUGGGACCUCUGCUCUGACCCAAGCCCGUAAGAUCUUCCAUUUCCACUUGGAAGUAACUGCUUCACAGACUGAGACUGCUGAGGGAUGGAAACUGGUGCGUUGCCACCUAGACCCAGUCUCAUUGACUGACCAACGCCAUAGCCCUGGCCUACAGAUUUGACUCCAUAGUUAUUUUGCUGUAGGUGAACAUUGGACAUCAUGUUGACUCCUGUAGAAUUUAAGUUAGGCUUUGGUAUUGAGAGUCGAUUUACCAUCUGCUGUGAUGGCAAAGACCGGACAUUUCCAGAAGCAAGGGAACCAAUUCUUGACUGGAGUCCCAUGCCCUUCUUCUCUUGAGGUUUGGGAGCAAUUAGCAUCAAGGGUUUGGAUCGGGGAACCACCACAUUUGUGUGCCCAAUCAUGGCAGUGACCUGAUAGCCUAUACGUUCAUGGUCUUCGAUGACGUGUUGUACCAAAGCUUCGUAGGACUUUGGCAUGAAAAGGCAUCUCUUGCAGUGAAUACUACUCUCUUCCCGGGCAUUUGAACCUAAAGGGACUGCACCGUUGAGUGACUUCUCACCUGCCUUUGCUAUGUAAGGCGCUGCCACGUGCUGAAAAUGUUCCCUGUAAAUGUGCUUCCUAACGAUUUCAUAAAGAGGAUCUCGUGCUGAGGCUGCUACUUGGUGCGCUGGCAUUUGGAGCAUGAAAUAUUUUAAUGUGUGUUUCCAAAGUCUUUUUGUCUGCAUUGAAGGCAGAGAAGAAUUUUGAAGAAAAUGGACAAGCACUGCAGCAAAAAGGUUUCGUCCGGUAGUCCUAAAGAAAAGACAAAAACUGGAAUUAGAAUGCCACUUCAGGAAGGUAAUAAC
Molecule: long non-coding RNA, 5402 nt
Organism: Neomonachus schauinslandi (Hawaiian monk seal)
Lineage: Eukaryota; Metazoa; Chordata; Mammalia; Carnivora; Phocidae
Exons: 3
Source: RefSeq, a predicted model, not a curated record